AUGCCGCGUGUGUGAAGAAGGCCUUCGGGUUGUAAAGCACUUUCAGUCAGGAGGAAAGGUUAGUAGUUAAUACCUGCUAGCUGUGACGUUACUGACAGAAGAAGCACCGGCUAACUCCGUGC
This 122-nucleotide ribosomal RNA is filed under the name uncultured Pseudoalteromonas sp. Its description in RNAcentral is "partial 16S ribosomal RNA". It matches the Rfam family "Bacterial small subunit ribosomal RNA", at positions 394 to 508 of the family's 1533-position model. The record is from RNAcentral. Lineage: Bacteria; Pseudomonadati; Pseudomonadota; Gammaproteobacteria; Alteromonadales; Pseudoalteromonadaceae.